Esox lucius (northern pike) is the source of this 1358-nucleotide long non-coding RNA. The record is from Ensembl. NCBI's taxonomy places the organism in Eukaryota, Metazoa, Chordata, Actinopteri, Esociformes, Esocidae.
CUCCUGCUUGUUGCAUUACAAUGUAAGUUGUAAGUGUACUGAUCGGAGAGCAUGGUAAGAUUUAACAUGGUAUCCAUUCCUGGGAGUAAUGUUUGUUUCUCAUAUCUAUUCAGUGUCUUGACCAAAAGCAUCAACAUCUAAACAAAUACAAAUUCAGCAAUCUAAUGAUUACACAUCUAAGAUGGAGAGAACAAAGAAAAUAUAAGUUGUUUGUCUGUUUUCAGGUUUUCUACCUUUUCAAAAGAUGCAAUGUCUAUGAUGUUUCUUUUGUUUGAUGAAGAUCGUAAAAUGAAUUAAAAAGGAGCCAGAAAGGGCAGCAAUUGUUGACAAUGGUUGACAAUGGUUGUAGGGAUAUUUGUGUGAAGGUGUUCUUAAAAACAUGCAGUUAAAACAUUUUGUUUUUAUUUAUUCUUGUCAUCCGGACAAACUGUGAUUUUAAUGUAUUUUGGAGAGUAUGUGUGGAAGUAAAAUAGUAGUGUUUUGUAUUGUUUUAAUCAUCCCAAUCCUUAACCCAUGUUAGAUUAUGAUAUUAAUUACAAUCACAUGGAUUUGGAAUUUUUGUUUCCCUUCCAUUGCUCUACCUGCAAAAAUCACAAAUCUGACCCAGUUUAAUUUCUAUUCUAACAAAUGGAGGGAUAGAAAGAGAGGAGGAAGAUCACCUAUGGCAGGGGUUCUCAUACUUUGGGGCCAUGGACACAUUUUGAGACUAAUCAGGGAUUCAUCAGGGACCCCCAAAUAAUUGAGAAACAACUGCGGUGAGUUAAGCAGUUUGAAUGAAUGAAGUCUUUGAAAGGAGCAUGUUAAAGGGAAUGGAUAUAACAUUUAGCAAUUUUAAUGUUAAAUUCCUGCAAUCCUACUUAUGUUGUUAUGAGGCAUAGAUAAAGUUUAUAUCACAAUGAAUUUAUGAAUGAUCAAUAAUCCUGUGAACUUUCAAGGCCCUUACAAAACUGUUAAUUAAUAAUUUUAUAUUGUUUUUUAUUACACCAAGCAAUUCCACGGAUCACUUGGCCAAAGCCUAUUUAAUAUGUUGUUGUUGUUGUUAUUGGUUAUAAUAAUAUCAUUUUUGAUAUAGAAAUUGUUUUUACUCCCAAUAAAUGUAUUCCAUGGUUUUCUUGGCCAAAGUCCAUUGGAAAUGUUGUUCUUGUCAUUGGUAAUUAUAGUGCUAUUUCUUAUAUAUUUUUCUAAUUUACAUUUUGUGUUUGUGUAUAUAUGUUGGACCUAUGCCCUCUACCCACAGUUUGAGAACCCCUGGCCUAGAAGACACCAUUAGAGAGCUUUGUUUUAAUGUUAAAGUCACAAGUGUAAAUACUGAAAGAUGCAUUUGUAAAUUUGAACUUUCCACAGUUGUUAAUUAUUCC